CAGUAGCCGCGGUAAUACGUAGGGUGCAAGCGUUAAUCGGAAUUACUGGGCGUAAAGCGUGCGCAGGCGGUUAUAUAAGACAGAUGUGAAAUCCCCGGGCUCAACCUGGGAACUGCAUUUGUGACUGUAUAGCUAGAGUACGGCAGAGGGGGAUGGAAUUCCGCGUGUAGCAGUGAAAUGCGUAGAUAUGCGAAGGAACACCGAUGGCGAAGGCAAUCCCCUGGGCCUGUACUGACGCUCAUGCACGAAAGCGUGGGGAGCAAACAGGAUUAGAUACCCGUGUAGUCCCUGUCUCUUAUAC
This 301-nucleotide ribosomal RNA is filed under the name uncultured bacterium. RNAcentral's name for it is "partial 16S ribosomal RNA". It matches the Rfam family "Bacterial small subunit ribosomal RNA", at positions 509 to 807 of the family's 1533-position model. The record is from RNAcentral.